This is a long non-coding RNA of Stylophora pistillata, 358 nucleotides long. RefSeq lists it as uncharacterized. The record is from RefSeq and is a predicted model, not a curated record. NCBI's taxonomy places the organism in Eukaryota, Metazoa, Cnidaria, Anthozoa, Scleractinia, Pocilloporidae.
CUCUGACAUGACGGACAGGUCGUUCGAUUCUCCGACGUGGAGACCGAGACUGCAGUAGAACGUCAAGAGAAAUCUUUUUUCAGAUACUAGCCUGGGUGCUGCUAAGAACUUAGCAAAAGAAGCACAAGGUAGAAUUCAAACUUUUCACUGAGUUUGCCCUAACGGGCAGUUAUGGAGCCAAGGAAACCCUACCCUCCAGCAAGGAGCCUGCUUUCAAAGCUGCACUACUCAGAAACCAAUGAAGAACAGUUUAGUCAAAAGCCACACACUGUCAAUAAAAAAACAGAACUAGCAGCAACAAGCAUAUCACAGCCCCUCUGACAUUUCAAUACCCUAAUCAACCAACUGCCAUCAGAUG